UCUGACCUCAAAUCAGGAGG
Molecule: ribosomal RNA, 20 nt
Filed under: uncultured Glomus
Lineage: Eukaryota; Fungi; Glomeromycota; Glomeromycetes; Glomerales; Glomeraceae
Description: partial 28S ribosomal RNA
Source: RNAcentral